Glycine soja is the source of this 561-nucleotide long non-coding RNA. RefSeq lists it as uncharacterized. NCBI's taxonomy places the organism in Eukaryota, Viridiplantae, Streptophyta, Magnoliopsida, Fabales, Fabaceae. The record is from RefSeq and is a predicted model, not a curated record. The transcript has 2 exons.
UUUUUUAUUUUUUAUGUUGACAUUCAAAUUUUGACCAAGAUUGGAGAAAGCCGGGAAGGUAACAGGCUAAUACUAGGUUAGGUUAACCGAAGCAAAGCAACCCUGGCCUUCCGGUACAGUACAGAGCCAAGUGAUUGAACAAUCAGAACUGGCAUAUCAAACCUAAUCAAAGCAAAUGGCUUACGAAUGAGGCGCCUUUGGGGUUAUAUCAUUAAUCUGCGUGAAAACUUUGACGAAUGAAGUUCUCCACUCUUCAUGGAUAACCACAGCAUUUACGCAGCGAAGCUGGCAGAACACUCUAACUGUACUAACGGUUUGUUAACUAGGUUCUUGGUGAUCAAUGUUGCAUUUGUUCAAGUCCUUAUGUUAACUUAAUGACUUCCACCAUAUUUGGUUAGCUUUUGGAAAAUCAAAAAUCCCAUUCUUUUAUUUACUGUAUUUGAGAUGCAUGUCACAGAACAUCCAAGAACGUAUCAUUCUAAAGUGUUAUGGAGUGAAUUUUGACGAUUAGUAUUUAGUAAACAGGCCCGUGAUUAAUUAUUAUUUGAAGAAUUUGUUUAA